This 253-nucleotide ribosomal RNA is filed under the name uncultured bacterium. RNAcentral describes it as "partial 16S ribosomal RNA". It matches the Rfam family "Bacterial small subunit ribosomal RNA", at positions 524 to 776 of the family's 1533-position model. The record is from RNAcentral.
UACGAACUGUGCAAGCGUUAUUCGGAAUCACUGGGCUUAAAGGGUGCGUAGGCGGUCUUGUAAGUAGGGUGUGAAAGCCCCCGGCUCAACCGGGGAACUGCGUCCUAAACUGCGAGGCUUGAGUGAGGUAGGGGUGUGUGGAGCUUCCAGUGGAGCGGUGAAAUGUGUUGAUAUUGGAAGGAACGCCGGUGGCGAAAGCGACACACUGGACCUUGUCUGACGCUGAGGCACGAAAGCCAGGGGAGCAAACGGG